CUGGUGGCGAGUGGCGAACGGGUGAGUAAUAUAUCGGAACAUACCCAGUAGUGGGGGAUAACUAUCCGAAAGGAUAGCUAAUACCGCAUACGAUCUGUGGAUGAAAGCAGGGGAUCUUCGGACCUUGUGCUAUUGGAAUGGCCGAUAUCUGAUUAGCUAGUUGGUAGGGUAAAAGCCUACCAAGGCGACGAUCAGUAGCUGGUCUGAGAGGACGACCAGCCACACUGGAACUGAGACACGGUCCAGACUCCUACGGGAGGCAGCAGUGGGGAAUUUUGGACAAUGGGGGCAACCCUGAUCCAGCAAUGCCGCGUGAGUGAAGAAGGCCCUCGGGUUGUAAAGCUCUUUUGUCAGGGAAGAAACGGAGUUCUCUAAUAUAGGAUUCUAAUGACGGUACCUGAAGAAUAAGCACCGGCUAACUACGUGCCAGCAGCCGCGGUAAUACGUAGGGUGCAAGCGUUAAUCGGAAUUACUGGGCGUAAAGCGUGCGCAGGCGGUUUUGUAAGUCUGAUGUGAAAUCCCCGGGCUCAACCUGGGAACUGCAUUGGAGACUGCAAGGCUAGAGUGUGUCAGAGGGGGGUAGAAUUCCACGUGUAGCAGUGAAAUGCGUAGAGAUGUGGAGGAAUACCGAUGGCG
Molecule: ribosomal RNA, 636 nt
Filed under: uncultured beta proteobacterium
Lineage: Bacteria; Pseudomonadati; Pseudomonadota; Betaproteobacteria
Description: bacterial SSU rRNA
Rfam family: Bacterial small subunit ribosomal RNA
Source: RNAcentral